ACUCCUACGGGAGGCAGCAGUGGGGAAUAUUGCACAAUGGGCGCAAGCCUGAUGCAGCAACGCCGUGUGAGUGAAGAAGGUUUUCGGAUCGUAAAACUCUGUCCUAAGGGAAGAAACAAAUGACGGUACCUUAGGAGGAAGCCCCGGCUAACUACGUGCCAGCAGCCGCGGUAAUACGUAGGGGCAAGCGUUAUCCGGAAUCACUGGGGCGUAAAGGGUGCGUAGGCGGCUUAGCAAGCCAGGGGUGAAAGGCAUUGGCUCAACCAAUGUAAGCCUUUGGAACUGUUAAGCUUGAGUGCAGGAGAGGUAAGUGGAAUUCCUAGUGUAGAGGUGAAAUUCGUAGAUAUUAGGAGGAACACCAGUGGCGAAGGCGACUUACUGGACUGUAACUGACGCUGAUGCACGAAAGCGUGGGUAGCGAACAGGAUUAGAUACCCUGGUAGCGACUGA
Molecule: ribosomal RNA, 450 nt
Filed under: uncultured bacterium
Lineage: Bacteria
Description: bacterial SSU rRNA
Rfam family: Bacterial small subunit ribosomal RNA
Source: RNAcentral